UGGUAAUGCCGGAUGUUCCACAUGAUCGCAUGUGAUUGUGGGAAAGAUUCUAUCGGCGUGGGAUGGGGUCGCGUCCUAUCAGCUUGUUGGUGAGGUAACGGCUCACCAAGGCUUCGACGGGUAGCCGGCCUAAGAGGGCGACCGGCCACAUUGGGACUGAGAUACGGCCCAGACUCCUACGGGAGGCAGCAGUGGGGAAUAUUGCACAAUGGGCGCAAGCCUGAUGCAGCGACGCCGCGUGAGGGAUGGAGGCCUUCGGGUUGUAAACCUCUUUUGUUUGGGAGCAAGCCUUCGGGUGAGUGUACCUUUCGAAUAAGCGCCGGCUAACUACGUGCCAGCAGCCGCGGUAAUACGUAGGGCGCAAGCGUUAUCCGGAUUUAUUGGGCGUAAAGGGCUCGUAGGCGGCUCGUCGCGUCCGGUGUGAAAGUCCAUCGCUUAACGGUGGAUCUGCGCCGGGUACGGGCGGGCUGGAGUGCGGUAGGGGAGACUGGAAUUCCCGGUGUAACGGUGGAAUGUGUAGAUAUC
RNAcentral lists this ribosomal RNA (525 nucleotides) under Bifidobacterium bifidum. RNAcentral's name for it is "bacterial SSU rRNA". It matches the Rfam family "Bacterial small subunit ribosomal RNA", at positions 161 to 698 of the family's 1533-position model. The record is from RNAcentral. Lineage: Bacteria; Bacillati; Actinomycetota; Actinomycetes; Bifidobacteriales; Bifidobacteriaceae.